GACGAAGUGGCUGGAGCAGGCGGGAGAGACUGCGAAGCCCUGGCUCCCAGGAUGGAGAUCAUAGAAAUGAAUGACAAGUUAAGAAGAAACAGGCAAGAAAUUGUGAAUGGAUUGAACAUUUUUGGAAGAAAAUGUUCUAAUAUUUGCCAGUAAAAUGUGUUAGUGACUUUGGAAAUGACAAAAACCUUACUUAACAAGAAUGUUGAGUUUAUGGUGUACAUGGACAAAAAGGAGGAAGAAACAGAAACUAUAAGGGAAGAUGAUAGUUCAAAAGAAGCACAUGAUCUGUCAGUGAAAUAUAUAAAUUUCUUUUAAAUUUAUAACUUUUAUUCAAACAUAAGGCAUAUAUAUUCUAUAUUUAAGAAUCAAUAAUACAGUAUAAUGUAAGACUGUGGGCUUUGGAGUUGGACAGCUUCAGGAUUGAAUUCCAGCUCUAUCCAUUACUAGCUAUGUUACUAUAGACUGUUUUACUUCUUUGUGCUUCCUCAGUGUUUAUGGGGGUAAUAUUUACUUUGCAGAGUUUUGUAAAGACUGAGAGGAAAUGUAAAGCAACUAGUACAAUGCCUAGGACAUAGUAGAUACUCGGCGAAUAUUAGUUCACAUCCCUUGUUGCUUUUCACCUGUUUCUUAAGGGAAUUGUACAGUUAAAUAACAAGGCAUUUCUUAAAUGCUUGGUCUGUCACUGUGCACCUAA
This is a long non-coding RNA of Diceros bicornis minor, 694 nucleotides long. RefSeq lists it as uncharacterized. The transcript is spliced from 4 exons. NCBI's taxonomy places the organism in Eukaryota, Metazoa, Chordata, Mammalia, Perissodactyla, Rhinocerotidae. The record is from RefSeq and is a predicted model, not a curated record.